AUGACGACCAUGAACAAGACUAUUUGGAAGGUUUGGGCACCUCCCAAGGUCAAGUUCUUCUCUUGGUUAGCGAUUCAAAACAGGAUAUGGAUGACAGAUAGAUUGGAGAAGCGAAGUUGGGAGAAUUGCCGGCUAUGCACCCUCUGCAGAAGGGCAAACGAGACGUCCGCGCACCUCUUCUUUCGGUGCAGGUUCACCUUGCGCGUAUGGAGAUUGGUAAAGGAGUGGCUUGGCCUAGGGGCUCUCGAGAUCCAUCAAUGGCAGGCGGAGCGCAGCAUCAAACAUUGGUGGACAAACAUGUCGAAGCCCAAUACGACGAACCGGAAGGCCAUGGCUUCUCUUACUAUGCUUGUCGGUUGGGCCAUCUGGAAUGAGAGGAACGCUAGAGUUUUUAGGAAGAAAUCAACACCCCCCUUCUACAUUCUAAAACUAAUCCAAGAUGAAGCCAAACUUUGGGUCAGGCAGGAGCUACGCACCUGA
This 480-nucleotide ribosomal RNA is filed under the name Triticum aestivum (bread wheat). Its description in RNAcentral is "partial small subunit ribosomal RNA". The record is from RNAcentral. Lineage: Eukaryota; Viridiplantae; Streptophyta; Magnoliopsida; Poales; Poaceae.